Molecule: ribosomal RNA, 507 nt
Filed under: uncultured bacterium
Lineage: Bacteria
Description: bacterial SSU rRNA
Rfam family: Bacterial small subunit ribosomal RNA
Source: RNAcentral
GAGUUUGAUCGUGGCUCAGGACGAACGCUGGCGGCGUGCCUAAUACAUGCAAGUCGAACGGAGAGCGUAUGACAGAGGAUUCGUCCAACGGAUUACGUUUCUUAGUGGCGGACGGGUGAGUAACGCGUGAGGAACCUGCCUCGGAGUGGGGAAUAACACAACGAAAGCUGUGCUAAUACCGCAUGAUGCAGCUGGGUCGCAUGACUCUGGCUGCCAAAGAUUUAUCGCUCUGAGAUGGCCUCGCGUCUGAUUAGCUGGUUGGCGGGGUAACGGCCCACCAAGGCGACGAUCAGUAGCCGGACUGAGAGGUUGGCCGGCCACAUUGGGACUGAGACACGGCCCAGACUCCUACGGGAGGCAGCAGUGGGGAAUAUUGGGCAAUGGGCGCAAGCCUGACCCAGCAACGCCGCGUGAAGGAAGAAGGCCCUCGGGUGGAAACUUCUUUUGCCAGGGACGAGCAAGUGACGGUACCUGACGAAUAAGCCACGGCUAACUACGUGCCAGCAG